RNAcentral lists this ribosomal RNA (1947 nucleotides) under Triticum aestivum (bread wheat). RNAcentral's name for it is "partial small subunit ribosomal RNA". Lineage: Eukaryota; Viridiplantae; Streptophyta; Magnoliopsida; Poales; Poaceae. The record is from RNAcentral.
AUGGCGCCGACCAAGGGCGAGGGGCCGGCCAUCGGCAUCGACCUCGGCACCACCUACUCGUGCGUCGGCGUGUGGCAGCACGACCGCGUCGAGAUCAUCGCCAACGACCAGGGCAACCGCACCACGCCCUCGUACGUCGCCUUCACCGACUCGGAGCGCCUCAUCGGCGAUGCCGCCAAGAACCAGGUCGCCAUGAACCCCAUCAACACCGUCUUCGAUGCGAAGCGUCUUAUUGGCAGAAGGUUUGCUGAUGCCCCUGUCCAGAGUGAUAUUAAGAUGUGGCCGUACAAGGUUAUUCCUGGCCCCGCAGACAAGCCUAUGAUUGUAGUGCAGUACAAGGGUGAGGACAAGCAGUUCUCAGCUGAAGAAAUUUCUUCCAUGGUCCUCAUCAAGAUGCGUGAGAUCGCUGAGGCUUACCUAGGAGUAACUAUUAAGAAUGCUGUUGUCACCGUGCCUGCUUACUUCAAUGAUUCCCAGAGGCAGGCAACCAAGGAUGCCGGUGUUAUUGCUGGUCUUAAUGUGAUGCGUAUCAUCAACGAGCCAACAGCAGCUGCAAUUGCUUAUGGUCUUGACAAGAAGGCUACCAGUGUCGGUGAGAAGAAUGUGCUUAUCUUUGACCUUGGUGGUGGCACUUUUGAUGUCUCUCUCCUUACCAUUGAGGAGGGUAUUUUUGAGGUGAAGGCCACGGCUGGUGACACUCACCUUGGUGGGGAGGACUUUGACAACCGUAUGGUGAACCACUUUGUCCAAGAGUUCAAGAGGAAGCACAAGAAGGAUAUCAGUGGAAACCCCAGGUCUUUGAGAAGGCUCAGGACUUCUUGUGAGAGGGCGAAGAGGACCCUUUCUUCCACUGCCCAAACCACCAUUGAGAUCGAUUCACUCUUCGAGGGAGUUGAUUUCUAUUCCACCAUCACCAGGGCCAGGUUUGAGGAGCUCAACAUGGACCUCUUCAGGAAGUGCAUGGAGCCAGUGGAGAAGUGCCUGAGGGAUGCCAAGAUGGACAAGAGCACUAUCCAUGAUGUUGUGCUUGUUGGUGGUUCCACCAGAAUCCCCAGAGUUCAGCAGCUGCUGCAGGACUUCUUCAACGGGAAGGAGCUCUGCAAGAGCAUCAACCCUGAUGAAGCUGUUGCCUACGGUGCUGCCGUCCAGGCUGCAAUCCUCAGCGGUGAGGGGAACGAGAAGGUGCAGGACCUUCUCCUCCUGGAUGUCACCCCACUGUCUCUUGGUCUUGAGACUGCUGGAGGAGUCAUGACUGUGCUCAUCACCAGGAACACCACCAUCCCCACCAAGAAGGAGCAGGUCUUCUCCACCUACUCCGACAACCAGCCUGGUGUGCUCAUCCAGGUGUUUGAGGGUGAGAGGACAAGGACCAGGGACAACAACCUGCUCGGCAAGUUUGAGCUCUCUGGCAUCCCGCCUGCGCCCAGGGGUGUUCCCCAGAUCACUGUCUGCUUCGACAUUGAUGCCAACGGUAUCCUGAAUGUCUCUGCUGAGGACAAGACCACUGGCCAGAAGAACAAGAUCACCAUCACCAACGACAAGGGCAGGCUGAGCAAGGACGACAUUGAGAAGAUGGUCCAGGACGCAGAGAAGUACAAGUCUGAGGACGAGGAGCACAAGAAGAAGGUUGACGCCAAGAACUCCCUGGAGAACUACGCCUACAACAUGAGGAACACCAUCCAGGACGAGAAGAUCGCCUCCAAGCUGCCUGCUGAUGACAAGAAGAAGAUCGAGGACGCCGUUGACGCCGCGAUCCAGUGGCUUGACGCCAACCAGCUCGGUGAGGUUGACGAGUUUGAGGACAAGAUGAAGGAGCUGGAGGGCCUCUGCAACCCCAUCAUCGCCAAGAUGUACCAGGGCGCCGGUGCUGGCAUGCCCGGAGGCAUGGACGAGGACGCGCCGGCUGCGAGCGGCGGUGCUGGCCCCAAGAUCGAGGAGGUCGACUAA